CAGCACCUCAAGUGGUCAGGAUGAUUAUUGGGCCUAAAGCAUCCGUAGCCGGCGCUGUAAGUUUUCGGUUAAAUCUGUACACUCAACGUACAGGCGGCCGGGAAUACUGCAGCGCUAGGGAGUGGGAGAGGUAGACGGUACUCGGUAGGAAGGGGUAAAAUCCUUUGAUCUAUUGAUGACCACCUGUGGCGAAGGCGGUCUACCAGAACACGUCCGACGGUGAGGGAUGAAAGCUGGGGGAGCAAACCGGAUUAGAUACCCGAGUAGUCC
RNAcentral lists this ribosomal RNA (270 nucleotides) under uncultured archaeon. Its description in RNAcentral is "partial 16S ribosomal RNA". It matches the Rfam family "Archaeal small subunit ribosomal RNA", at positions 477 to 747 of the family's 1478-position model. The record is from RNAcentral.